AGCAUAUUAAUAAGCGGAGGAAAAGAAACUAACAAGGAUUCCCUGAGUAACUGCGAGUGAAAAGGGAAGAGCCCAGCACCCAAUCUCACAAUUCUGUAGUUGUCGAGAAAUUUGGUGUUUGGGAGAGUCUAUAAUCCUUAUCUAUUCAAAGAGUCCAAGUCCCUCUUGAAUGGGGCCACGGCCCAUAGAGGGUGGUAGGCCCGUGGGACCGUUGAAUUUAUAGGGAAGGCUUCUCCUUAGAGUCGGGUUGCUUGGUAAUGCAGCCCCAAGUGGGUGGUAAACUCCAUCUAAGGCUAAAUAUGACCACGAGACCGAUAGC
This 319-nucleotide ribosomal RNA is filed under the name Tricholepidion gertschi. RNAcentral's name for it is "eukaryotic LSU rRNA". It matches the Rfam family "Eukaryotic large subunit ribosomal RNA", at positions 37 to 341 of the family's 3401-position model. The record is from RNAcentral. Lineage: Eukaryota; Metazoa; Arthropoda; Insecta; Zygentoma; Lepidotrichidae.